RNAcentral lists this non-coding RNA (632 nucleotides) under Pongo abelii (Sumatran orangutan). The record is from RNAcentral. Lineage: Eukaryota; Metazoa; Chordata; Mammalia; Primates; Hominidae.
ACCGCUGGCUGCAUCGCUCCCCUGACUUCUUCCGGGCUCCCAGAGCACCGCUAUGGAGAUGCUCUCCCGGCAUUUGAGGAAGAAUUGAUUGUCCUCAUCCUGCAACUGUACUUGCCCAACCGAUAUUUAUUGUUGCCUGCAGUGUCCUGGGUGCCUACCCAGGGGCACAGAACUGGAUCCCACUCAGACCCUGCCUGCCCUCAGGUUGCUUGAAGAUGAACAGAGAGAUCGGACCUCUGCAUGAAGCCAGACUGCUCAUCAUUCCAGACAUCUUCAGCUGCUACACCCAGAACAAGCAUUCGAAAUAUGAACAGGAUGAGACACUCUUCUAUGUUGCCCAGGCUGGUCUCAGACUCCUGGACUCAAAGUGAUCCUCCUUCGUCAGCCUCCCAAGUAGCUGGGACUGCAGAUUCAUGCUCUCCAUCUCCAGAUCAUGAACAGCAGCCAUUGUCCUGGGUCCUCCCUCCUCCCCAGAAGGACAUGAAUCCCAGGGAACAGCAGGUGGCCCUAGGUCCUCAGGCUGCAGCUCUUCCCUGGGCUGUCUGGCGCAACCACUGCUUUCCAAGGCCUUUCCUGUAUGUGAAGAGAAGACAGCUGAAGAUGAUCAAAAUGAUCUAAACCUCCUAAAUAGC